UACGUAUGGAGCAAGCGUUAUCCGGAUUUACUGGGUGUAAAGGGAGCGCAGGCGGUCUGGAAGUCUGAUGUGAAAGGCCGGGGCUCAACCCCGGGACUGCAUUGGAAACUGUCAGACUGGAGUGUCGGAGAGGUAAGCGGAAUUCCUAGUGUAGCGGUGAAAUGCGUAGAUAUUAGGAGGAACACCAGUGGCGAAGGCGGCUUACUGGACGAUGACUGACGCUGAGGCUCGAAAGCGUGGGGAGCAAACAGG
This 252-nucleotide ribosomal RNA is filed under the name uncultured bacterium. Its description in RNAcentral is "partial 16S ribosomal RNA". It matches the Rfam family "Bacterial small subunit ribosomal RNA", at positions 524 to 776 of the family's 1533-position model. The record is from RNAcentral.